This 77-nucleotide transfer RNA is filed under the name Dictyoglomus sp. NZ13-RE01. Its description in RNAcentral is "tRNA-Thr". It matches the Rfam family "tRNA". From Rfam's summary of the family: Transfer RNA (tRNA) molecules are approximately 80 nucleotides in length. Their secondary structure includes four short double-helical elements and three loops (D, anti-codon, and T loops). RNAcentral also lists the same sequence under 1 other name. The record is from RNAcentral. Lineage: Bacteria; Pseudomonadati; Dictyoglomota; Dictyoglomia; Dictyoglomales; Dictyoglomaceae.
GCCGGUGUAGCUCAGCUGGUUAGAGCAGCCGAUUCGUAAUCGGCAGGUCGCCGGUUCGAAUCCGGCCUCCGGCUCCA